Cordylochernes scorpioides is the source of this 78-nucleotide non-coding RNA. The record is from the annotation of a GenBank genome assembly. NCBI's taxonomy places the organism in Eukaryota, Metazoa, Arthropoda, Arachnida, Pseudoscorpiones, Chernetidae.
UGGUUUCGCCCGGGAUCGAACCAGAGACCUUUCGCAUGUAAAGCAAACAUGAUAUCCACUAUAUUUAUUUAUUUGGUC